UACGUAGGGUGCAAGCGUUGUCCGGAAUUAUUGGGCGUAACGAGCUCGUAGGCGGUCUGUCGCGUCUGCUGUGAAAACUCGGGGCUUAACCCCGGGCCUGCAGUGGGUACGGGCAGACUAGAGUGCGGUAGGGGAGACUGGAAUUCCUGGUGUAGCGGUGAAAUGCGCAGAUAUCAGGAGGAACACCGGUGGCGAAGGCGGGUCUCUGGGCCGAUACUGACGCUGAGGAGCGAAAGCGUGGGGAGCGAACAGG
This 253-nucleotide ribosomal RNA is filed under the name uncultured bacterium. RNAcentral's name for it is "partial 16S ribosomal RNA". It matches the Rfam family "Bacterial small subunit ribosomal RNA", at positions 524 to 776 of the family's 1533-position model. The record is from RNAcentral.